This 2792-nucleotide ribosomal RNA is filed under the name Escherichia coli. RNAcentral describes it as "partial 23S ribosomal RNA". It matches the Rfam family "Bacterial large subunit ribosomal RNA". The record is from RNAcentral. Lineage: Bacteria; Pseudomonadati; Pseudomonadota; Gammaproteobacteria; Enterobacterales; Enterobacteriaceae.
GGUUAAGCGACUAAGCGUACACGGUGGAUGCCCUGGCAGUCAGAGGCGAUGAAGGACGUGCUAAUCUGCGAUAAGCGUCGGUAAGGUGAUAUGAACCGUUAUAACCGGCGAUUUCCGAAUGGGGAAACCCAGUGUGUUUCGACACACUAUCAUUAACUGAAUCCAUAGGUUAAUGAGGCGAACCGGGGGAACUGAAACAUCUAAGUACCCCGAGGAAAAGAAAUCAACCGAGAUUCCCCCAGUAGCGGCGAGCGAACGGGGAGCAGCCCAGAGCCUGAAUCAGUGUGUGUGUUAGUGGAAGCGUCUGGAAAGGCGCGCGAUACAGGGUGACAGCCCCGUACACAAAAAUGCACAUGCUGUGAGCUCGAUGAGUAGGGCGGGACACGUGGUAUCCUGUCUGAAUAUGGGGGGACCAUCCUCCAAGGCUAAAUACUCCUGACUGACCGAUAGUGAACCAGUACCGUGAGGGAAAGGCGAAAAGAACCCCGGCGAGGGGAGUGAAAAAGAACCUGAAACCGUGUACGUACAAGCAGUGGGAGCACGCUUCGGCGUGUGACUGCGUACCUUUUGUAUAAUGGGUCAGCGACUUAUAUUCUGUAGCAAGGUUAACCGAAUAGGGGAGCCGAAGGGAAACCGAGUCUUAACUGGGCGUUAAGUUGCAGGGUAUAGACCCGAAACCCGGUGAUCUAGCCAUGGGCAGGUUGAAGGUUGGGUAACACUAACUGGAGGACCGAACCGACUAAUGUUGAAAAAUUAGCGGAUGACUUGUGGCUGGGGGUGAAAGGCCAAUCAAACCGGGAGAUAGCUGGUUCUCCCCGAAAGCUAUUUAGGUAGCGCCUCGUGAAUUCAUCUCCGGGGGUAGAGCACUGUUUCGGCAAGGGGGUCAUCCCGACUUACCAACCCGAUGCAAACUGCGAAUACCGGAGAAUGUUAUCACGGGAGACACACGGCGGGUGCUAACGUCCGUCGUGAAGAGGGAAACAACCCAGACCGCCAGCUAAGGUCCCAAAGUCAUGGUUAAGUGGGAAACGAUGUGGGAAGGCCCAGACAGCCAGGAUGUUGGCUUAGAAGCAGCCAUCAUUUAAAGAAAGCGUAAUAGCUCACUGGUCGAGUCGGCCUGCGCGGAAGAUGUAACGGGGCUAAACCAUGCACCGAAGCUGCGGCAGCGACACUGUGUGUUGUUGGGUAGGGGAGCGUUCUGUAAGCCUGUGAAGGUGUACUGUGAGGUAUGCUGGAGGUAUCAGAAGUGCGAAUGCUGACAUAAGUAACGAUAAAGCGGGUGAAAAGCCCGCUCGCCGGAAGACCAAGGGUUCCUGUCCAACGUUAAUCGGGGCAGGGUGAGUCGACCCCUAAGGCGAGGCCGAAAGGCGUAGUCGAUGGGAAACAGGUUAAUAUUCCUGUACUUGGUGUUACUGCGAAGGGGGGACGGAGAAGGCUAUGUUGGCCGGGCGACGGUUGUCCCGGUUUAAGCGUGUAGGCUGGUUUUCCAGGCAAAUCCGGAAAAUCAAGGCUGAGGCGUGAUGACGAGGCACUACGGUGCUGAAGCAACAAAUGCCCUGCUUCCAGGAAAAGCCUCUAAGCAUCAGGUAACAUCAAAUCGUACCCCAAACCGACACAGGUGGUCAGGUAGAGAAUACCAAGGCGCUUGAGAGAACUCGGGUGAAGGAACUAGGCAAAAUGGUGCCGUAACUUCGGGAGAAGGCACGCUGAUAUGUAGGUGAAGCGACUUGCUCGUGGAGCUGAAAUCAGUCGAAGAUACCAGCUGGCUGCAACUGUUUAUUAAAAACACAGCACUGUGCAAACACGAAAGUGGACGUAUACGGUGUGACGCCUGCCCGGUGCCGGAAGGUUAAUUGAUGGGGUUAGCGCAAGCGAAGCUCUUGAUCGAAGCCCCGGUAAACGGCGGCCGUAACUAUAACGGUCCUAAGGUAGCGAAAUUCCUUGUCGGGUAAGUUCCGACCUGCACGAAUGGCGUAAUGAUGGCCAGGCUGUCUCCACCCGAGACUCAGUGAAAUUGAACUCGCUGUGAAGAUGCAGUGUACCCGCGGCAAGACGGAAAGACCCCGUGAACCUUUACUAUAGCUUGACACUGAACAUUGAGCCUUGAUGUGUAGGAUAGGUGGGAGGCUUAGAAGUGUGGACGCCAGUCUGCAUGGAGCCGACCUUGAAAUACCACCCUUUAAUGUUUGAUGUUCUAACGUUGACCCGUAAUCCGGGUUGCGGACAGUGUCUGGUGGGUAGUUUGACUGGGGCGGUCUCCUCCUAAAGAGUAACGGAGGAGCACGAAGGUUGGCUAAUCCUGGUCGGACAUCAGGAGGUUAGUGCAAUGGCAUAAGCCAGCUUGACUGCGAGCGUGACGGCGCGAGCAGGUGCGAAAGCAGGUCAUAGUGAUCCGGUGGUUCUGAAUGGAAGGGCCAUCGCUCAACGGAUAAAAGGUACUCCGGGGAUAACAGGCUGAUACCGCCCAAGAGUUCAUAUCGACGGCGGUGUUUGGCACCUCGAUGUCGGCUCAUCACAUCCUGGGGCUGAAGUAGGUCCCAAGGGUAUGGCUGUUCGCCAUUUAAAGUGGUACGCGAGCUGGGUUUAGAACGUCGUGAGACAGUUCGGUCCCUAUCUGCCGUGGGCGCUGGAGAACUGAGGGGGGCUGCUCCUAGUACGAGAGGACCGGAGUGGACGCAUCACUGGUGUUCGGGUUGUCAUGCCAAUGGCACUGCCCGGUAGCUAAAUGCGGAAGAGAUAAGUGCUGAAAGCAUCUAAGCACGAAACUUGCCCCGAGAUGAGUUCUCCCUGAC